Molecule: ribosomal RNA, 273 nt
Filed under: uncultured Pseudomonas sp.
Lineage: Bacteria; Pseudomonadati; Pseudomonadota; Gammaproteobacteria; Pseudomonadales; Pseudomonadaceae
Description: partial 16S ribosomal RNA
Rfam family: Bacterial small subunit ribosomal RNA
Source: RNAcentral
UUAGUUACCGGCACGUAAUGGUGGGCACUCUAAGGAGACUGCCGGUGACAAACCGGAGGAAGGUGGGGAUGACGUCAAGUCAUCCAUGGCCCUUACGGCCAGGGCUACACACGUGCUACAAUGGUCGGUACAAAGGGUUGCCAAGCCGCGAGGUGGAGCUAAUCCCAUAAAACCGAUCGUAGUCCGGAUCGCAGUCUGCAACUCGACUGCGUGAAGUCGGAAUCGCUAGUAAUCGUGAAUCAGAAUGUCACGGUGAAUACGUUCCCGGGCCUU